This is a non-coding RNA of Sarcophilus harrisii (Tasmanian devil), 339 nucleotides long. NCBI's taxonomy places the organism in Eukaryota, Metazoa, Chordata, Mammalia, Dasyuromorphia, Dasyuridae. The record is from the annotation of a RefSeq genome assembly.
AUGCCUGUUUCUAGGGGAGCAAUUGUGCUGACCCAGUCUCCAGGCUCAGUGUCUGUGCGCUCAGGAGAGAGAGUCACCAUCAGCUGCAAGGCCAGUCAGAGUGUGGUACAUACGGAUGGAAACACUUACCUAAAAUGGUUCCACCAUAAACCUGGACAGUCUCCUCGGUUACUCAUUUACAAGAUUUCCAGCCUGCACUCUGGAGUCCCUGCCCGCUUCAGUGGCAGUGGUGCUGAGAAGGAUUUCUCCCUCACAAUCAGCAGUGUGGAGGCUGAAGAUGGGGCAGACUAUUACUGUGCUCAAGGAUCUUAUUCUCCUCCCACAGUGUUACAGCCCUGA